CAUAAAGGAUUUAGACACAUGAUUGUGAUGUCAAAGAUAUCAGUUACAAAGUGGUUUUCCUGCAGCUACAGUUAAGCUUAGCACAAAUUUCCACAAAGCACAGUGGCAUAUUCAGAAGAUGCUCAGAAUCUUAGAAAUUUGUUUCUAAUUCUAGAUAGUAGAAAGCCUACAUGUUCAUGUGAGGUAGAUGAUGAAAAGAUUUGAGAUUCUUGAUAUCCAGCAGCAGGAAGAAUUACAUAAGUAAGAGGCUAAGAAUACUAGAUUUAAGAAGAGGUUCCCUGCAGAAGGACUGGAGAUGAGUCAUCAACCUGGAAAGUUAUAGAAAGUCUAUAAUCCCUGUGUCCAGAAUUGUGUUUUCCUGACCAUUCUGGUUGAUACAUCAAAUGCGAGAAUACGGCCUCAGCCUUCCUAAUUACUUCUGGCUUUCUUUCAAGCCCAGUACAGAAUAGUUUGCAAGAACUAUAUGAGCCAAAGUAAUCAGUAAACUUCUGGAGGAAACAAAAGAGAAUACUGAAAUUAGAAGUUGACCUGUGGAAUGGCUGACUUCUGUCCUCUUCUCCACCCAGUUCAUGUGCCCCUGAAACUCCACGUGUCUCUUUGUCCUCCAUUCCUGUGAGAACACAUCUCCUUUGGAAUCCAUGUCUCUGAAAGAAGAAGUACAACAAUUUAGGACAUGAUUUGGGGCAUCUAUGAAUGAGCUUCAUUGACCAUGAACAUCUUAAAGGUGAGGAUGUAUUAUCUUCAUUUUCACAUUUCAGGGACUAGCAAAAUAAGUCCUUUUGGCAUGAGUUGAUUAAAGGAUGGAUAGAUGAGAUGAUUAUCUCUAACUUUAUAUGCCAUGAACAUAAUCUCCCAGCCUAAACAUCUUCAUCAUCUCAUCCUUGAGAUGUCUUACCUUUCCGUCCCCACUCAGCGUGUAGCUUCCAGGCCCUUUGAGUGCUUACUUUUCCUGGAGGAAGAUAUUGCUUCUUCUGUAUUAAAAUCAUAUCUCCUGAUAGUAGAUGCUGCCACCAUCCUGAAGCAGGGAAAAUAUGCUCCAUCCAUUUGUUUUAAAGGACAGCAUGAGGUUACAAGGCAAACUAAGCUUGUACUAUUUGUUUUCUAAUGAUCUAAUGUGCAGUGGUCUUCAAACUUUUUUUUUUUUUGGUGAGGAA
RNAcentral lists this long non-coding RNA (1154 nucleotides) under Equus caballus (horse). RNAcentral's name for it is "lncRNA (ENSECAG00000049501.1)". Lineage: Eukaryota; Metazoa; Chordata; Mammalia; Perissodactyla; Equidae. The record is from RNAcentral.